RNAcentral lists this ribosomal RNA (568 nucleotides) under uncultured Candidatus Nitrosopumilus sp. RNAcentral describes it as "bacterial SSU rRNA". It matches the Rfam family "Archaeal small subunit ribosomal RNA", at positions 169 to 738 of the family's 1478-position model. The record is from RNAcentral. Lineage: Archaea; Thermoproteati; Nitrososphaerota; Nitrososphaeria; Nitrosopumilales; Nitrosopumilaceae.
UCUGGAAUGGUUUGUGUUCCAAAUGAUUUAUCGCCGUAGGAUGGGACUGCGGCCUAUCAGUUUGUUGGUGAGGUAAUGGCCCACCAAGACUAUUACAGGUACGGGCUCUGAGAGGAGUAGCCCGGAGAUGGGUACUGAGACACGGACCCAGGCCCUAUGGGGCGCAGCAGGCGAGAAAACUUUGCAAUGUGCGAAAGCACGACAAGGUUAAUCCGAGUGGUUUCUGCUAAAGGAACCUUUUGUCAGUCCUAGAAACACUGACGAAUAAGGGGUGGGCAAGUUCUGGUGUCAGCCGCCGCGGUAAAGCCAGCACCUCAAGUGGUCAGGAUGAUUAUUGGGCCUAAAGCAUCCGUAGCCGGCUCUGUAAGUUUUCGGUUAAAUCUGUACGCUCAACGUACAGGCUGCCGAGAAUACUGCAGAGCUAGGGAGUGGGAGAGGUAGACGGUACUCGGUAGGAAGGGGUAAAAUCCUUUGAUCUAUUGAUGACCACCUGUGGCGAAGGCGGUCUACCAGAACACGUCCGACGGUGAGGGAUGAAAGCUGGGGGAGCAAACCGGAUUAGAUACCC